CUAACCUUCCCCCGUCGCUGCCAAAUCAGCGACCGGGCGUAGGAACCCGAAUC
This is a non-coding RNA of Pseudomonas putida, 53 nucleotides long. Lineage: Bacteria; Pseudomonadati; Pseudomonadota; Gammaproteobacteria; Pseudomonadales; Pseudomonadaceae. The record is from Rfam.